CAGUACUCUAACUGGUAAUUGGGACUACACUCACCCAACUGAACCACACCGGCCAGGAAGGGAGUGAAGGUUUAACACUCCUUCACUAUAUCUGCUUUUCUCAUCUGCCUUCAAACACUACUUAGAGCCUCUCCAAUCCAUACUCAAUUUUGCUUACUGAUUCUUUCCCUUUACCUGCCUGUCCUCCUCCAAAUUGUCUUGGAAAUAGUUCUAGGUGAUAACAGUUCCUCUGCAGCAGCCUGUAGUGGUCUUGCUAGAAUGAACAGCAGGCCCAGUGUCCAAGGAAGAGGAUGGCUACACUUGGGCAUGUGACAUGCCAUAUUACCAACAAACAUUUAUAUUGCUUCAAGUAGUUCUAAGAGAGAGAGAGAG
Pipistrellus kuhlii (Kuhl's pipistrelle) is the source of this 372-nucleotide long non-coding RNA. RefSeq lists it as uncharacterized. The record is from RefSeq and is a predicted model, not a curated record. Lineage: Eukaryota; Metazoa; Chordata; Mammalia; Chiroptera; Vespertilionidae. The transcript is spliced from 3 exons.